AUGAAGUACAUUGCAUGGAGUAUGCCCUACAUUCAUUCAGAAUGUGGGGUGAGCCAAGGAGAGCAGGUAGAACAGCGUCCUUCUACCCUGAGAGUCCAGGAGGGAGCCAGCACUGCCAUCAACUGCACAUAUGUAGACAAAACCUCAUACAACUUCCUUUGGUAUAAACAAGGACCUGGAGAGCAUCCUAAGCUCAUUGUUGACAUUCAUUCAAAUAUGGAAAGAAAGCAUGAUGAAGAACUGAUAGUUUUACUGGAUAAGAAAGCCAAACACUUCUCCAUGCACAUCACAGACGCCCAGCCUGGAGACUCGGCCACAUACUUCUGUGCUGCAAGGGCACACUGCUCCCCAGGCACCUGCAGCCUCUCCUUAAUCCUGCCACAGGGCCUGGAGCCCCGUCCACAUCCUGCCUAA
Non-coding RNA from Arvicola amphibius (Eurasian water vole), 414 nucleotides. The record is from the annotation of a RefSeq genome assembly. Lineage: Eukaryota; Metazoa; Chordata; Mammalia; Rodentia; Cricetidae.